RNAcentral lists this ribosomal RNA (370 nucleotides) under uncultured Prevotella sp. RNAcentral describes it as "bacterial SSU rRNA". It matches the Rfam family "Bacterial small subunit ribosomal RNA", at positions 354 to 718 of the family's 1533-position model. Lineage: Bacteria; Pseudomonadati; Bacteroidota; Bacteroidia; Bacteroidales; Prevotellaceae. The record is from RNAcentral.
UGAGGGAAUAUUGGGUCAAUGGACGAAAGUCUGAACCAGCCAUGCCGCGUGAAGGAAUAAGGCCCUAUGGGUCGUAAACUUCUUUUGUAUGUGAGCAAUAAGGUCCACGUGUGGACCGAUGAGAGUAGCAUACGAAUAAGCAUCGGCUAACUCCGUGCCAGCAGCCGCGGUAAUACGGAGGAUGCAAGCGUUAUCCGGAUUCAUUGGGUUUAAAGGGAGCGUAGGCCGGAGAUUAAGCGUGUUGUGAAAUGUAGACGCUCAACGUCUGCACUGCAGCGCGAACUGGUUUCCUUGAGUACGCACAAAGUGGGCGGAAUUCGUGGUGUAGCGGUGAAAUGCUUAGAUAUCCACGAAGAACUUCCGAUUGCGA